AGAAUCAACGCUGGCGGCGUGCCUAACACAUGCAAGUCGCACGAGAAAGUGGAGCAAUCCAUGAGUAAAGUGGCGCACGGGUGAGUAACACGUGAAUUAUCUACCUCCGAGUGGGGAAUAACUGAGAGAAAUCUUAGCUAAUACCGCAUAACACUUACGAGUCAAAGCAGCAAUGCGCUUGGAGAGGAGUUCGCGGCCGAUUAGUUAGUUGGCGGGUAAUGGCCCACCAAGACGAUGACCGGUA
This 244-nucleotide ribosomal RNA is filed under the name uncultured bacterium. Its description in RNAcentral is "partial small subunit ribosomal RNA". It matches the Rfam family "Bacterial small subunit ribosomal RNA", at positions 26 to 285 of the family's 1533-position model. The record is from RNAcentral.